CCUUCCUAUUAAGGCUACAGUCCUGUAGAGUCUAGUCUGUUAAUACCAUAAACUGCCUGGCUGUGAAACAUCCAGAAGUGCCCAUUGUUACAGGAAAGAAGACAGGAGCAACAUGGAA
Pipistrellus kuhlii (Kuhl's pipistrelle) is the source of this 118-nucleotide long non-coding RNA. RefSeq lists it as uncharacterized. The record is from RefSeq and is a predicted model, not a curated record. NCBI's taxonomy places the organism in Eukaryota, Metazoa, Chordata, Mammalia, Chiroptera, Vespertilionidae. The transcript is spliced from 3 exons.